GACAGAGGGUGCAAACGUUGUUCGGAAUUACUGGGCGUAAAGCGCGUGUAGGCGGCUAAGUAAGUCGGGCGUGAAAUCCCACGGCUCAACCGUGGAAGUGCACUCGAAACUGCAUAGCUAGAGUCCUGGAGAGGAAGGUGGAAUGCUUGGUGUAGAGGUGAAAUUCGUAGAUAUCAGGAGGAACACCGGUGGCGAAGGCGGCUUUCUGGACAGAAACUGACGCUGAGGCGCGAAAGCUAGGGGAGCAAACAGG
RNAcentral lists this ribosomal RNA (253 nucleotides) under uncultured bacterium. RNAcentral describes it as "partial 16S ribosomal RNA". It matches the Rfam family "Bacterial small subunit ribosomal RNA", at positions 524 to 776 of the family's 1533-position model. The record is from RNAcentral.